Long non-coding RNA from Sapajus apella (tufted capuchin), 154 nucleotides. RefSeq lists it as uncharacterized. The record is from RefSeq and is a predicted model, not a curated record. The transcript is spliced from 2 exons. Lineage: Eukaryota; Metazoa; Chordata; Mammalia; Primates; Cebidae.
CAUCCUCAUAAUAAUUUGGGGGAAGGGUUGCUUUGUCUUUGAGAGCAUCAACCUCAAAAAUUCAGUAAUCAACUUUAGUAAGAUGAUCUAACACUGAAAAGCACAUGACUUCAAGUCCAGAACAACAUAUUAGCAAUAAAACAUAGGAACCAUG